Molecule: long non-coding RNA, 658 nt
Organism: Lagopus leucura (white-tailed ptarmigan)
Lineage: Eukaryota; Metazoa; Chordata; Aves; Galliformes; Phasianidae
Exons: 5
Source: RefSeq, a predicted model, not a curated record
GUCUGCUUUAUCGACUGUUUGGUACAGAACACUGCUGGCUGAAUAUUGUAUAUGAACAAGCAAGACAGACUGAAAUCUCAAAGAGCUCUUUCCUCGCAAAUGUCUCUGUGUGGCUUACAGGACAGAAUAUGAGAAUAACCCAGCACAAGACAGUGUGAAAGGAAACCUGAAUCUAUUUACUGUUAAGAAGCCCCGGACUGAACUGACAGGUACGGAAUGUAACAUUGCUCCAAAGGCUUGGCAUGCUGAUAUUGUCUUUGUGUAUUUGAAGUAUUUCCUCUGGCCUUCAGAAUGUUCAUAUCAUCCAGAAUGCACAGCACUGUGACCGUCCUUUGGAAGGAACAGACCUGACAACCAUCAACUUAUCUGCACUGUGUCAGAGGAACCACCAGUUUGACAGCAAUCCAUAUCCAAUGCAUGCAGGACCUUCAAAAGAAAUUUCUCUGCUACAGUCACAUAUUUGUCACGUUUCAUUUGCAAGUAUCAAGUUGCAUGACUGGAGAUUCUGCUUGGAUGCUGGGAAAAAUUUCCUCUCAGGAAGAGAGGUGAGGUGCUGGAAUAGGCUGCCCAUGGAGGUGGAGGAGUUACCGUCCGUGUUCAAGAAAAAGGUAGGUGGCACACUGGGUGACAUGGUUUAGUGGUACAGUGGUGACAGAUU